GAAAAUGAAAGAGUAAAAGAAACAACAAUAAAGAAGAGAAUGAGGAAUGAGUGAAAAUUAGGGAAAGAUUGUACAUAAUCAUAUUAUUCUACUUCCCUUCUUAUUUUAUUGAAGAUUAGACUCUUUCUAUUUCCUAUCUCUUCAAUCUUUUUGAGAA
RNAcentral lists this non-coding RNA (157 nucleotides) under Paraphysomonas vestita. Lineage: Eukaryota; Chrysophyceae; Chromulinales; Paraphysomonadaceae. The record is from RNAcentral.